This 55-nucleotide ribosomal RNA is filed under the name Clonostachys rosea. RNAcentral's name for it is "partial 18S ribosomal RNA". It matches the Rfam family "Eukaryotic small subunit ribosomal RNA", at positions 1777 to 1831 of the family's 1831-position model. Lineage: Eukaryota; Fungi; Ascomycota; Sordariomycetes; Hypocreales; Bionectriaceae. The record is from RNAcentral.
GGAAAGUAAAAGUCGUAACAAGGUCUCCGUUGGUGAACCAGCGGAGGGAUCAUUA